UACGUAGGGUGCAAGCGUUAAUCGGAAUUACUGGGCGUAAAGCGCGCGCAGGCGGUUAUGCAAGACAGAUGUGAAAUCCCCGGGCUUAACCUGGGAACCGCAUUUGUGACUGCAUAGCUGGAGUACGGCAGAGGGGGAUGGAAUUCCGCGUGUAGCAGUGAAAUGCGUAGAUAUGCGGAGGAACACCGAUGGCGAAGGCAGUCCCCUGGGCCUGUACUGACGCUCAUGCACGAAAGCGUGGGGAGCAAACAGG
This 253-nucleotide ribosomal RNA is filed under the name uncultured bacterium. Its description in RNAcentral is "partial 16S ribosomal RNA". It matches the Rfam family "Bacterial small subunit ribosomal RNA", at positions 524 to 776 of the family's 1533-position model. The record is from RNAcentral.